GAGUUUGAUUGGCUCAGAUUGAACGCUGGCGGCAGGCCUAACACAUGCAAGUCGAGCGGAUGAAGGGAGCUUGCUCCUGGAUUCAGCGGCGGACGGGUGAGUAAUGCCUAGGAAUCUGCCUGGUAGUGGGGGAUAACGUCCGGAAACGGGCGCUAAUACCGCAUACGUCCUGAGGGAGAAAGUGGGGGAUCUUCGGACCUCACGCUAUCUGAUGAGCCUAGGUCGGAUUAGCUAGUUGGUGGGGUAAAGGCCUACCAAGGCGACGAUCCGUAACUGGUCUGAGAGGAUGAUCAGUCACACUGGAACUGAGACACGGUCCAGACUCCUACGGGAGGCAGCAGUGGGGAAUAUUGGACAAUGGGCGAAAGCCUGAUCCAGCCAUGCCGCGUGUGUGAAGAAGGUCUUCGGAUUGUAAAGCACUUUAAGUUGGGAGGAAGGGCAGUAAGUUAAUACCUUGCUGUUUGACGUUACCAACAGAAUAAGCACCGGCUAACUUCGUGCCAGCCGCCGCCGUAAG
This 517-nucleotide ribosomal RNA is filed under the name uncultured microorganism. Its description in RNAcentral is "bacterial SSU rRNA". It matches the Rfam family "Bacterial small subunit ribosomal RNA", at positions 9 to 524 of the family's 1533-position model. The record is from RNAcentral.